Molecule: ribosomal RNA, 315 nt
Filed under: uncultured gamma proteobacterium TIHP302-35b
Lineage: Bacteria; Pseudomonadati; Pseudomonadota; Gammaproteobacteria
Description: bacterial SSU rRNA
Rfam family: Bacterial small subunit ribosomal RNA
Source: RNAcentral
UAACUCCGUGCCAGCAGCCGCGGUAAUACGGAGGGUGCAAGCGUUGUUCGGAAUUACUGGGCGUAAAGCGCGCGUAGGUGGUUUGUUAAGUUGGAUGUGAAAGCCCCGGGCUCAACCUGGGAANUGCAUCCAAAACUGGCAAGCUAGAGUACGGUAGAGGGUGGUGGAAUUCCNUGUGUAGCGGUGAAAUGCGUAGAUAUAGGGAGGGACACCAGUUGCGAAGGCGACCACCUGGACUGAUACUGACACUGAGGUGCGAAAGCGUGGGGAGCAAACAGGGUUAGAUACCCUGGUAGUCCACGCCGUAAACGAUGU